GCAUUAGUAGCUCAGUUUAGAGCGCCGGUCUUGUAAACCGGAGGUCGAGGGUUAAAAUCCCUCCUGCUGCU
RNAcentral lists this transfer RNA (71 nucleotides) under Acreichthys tomentosus. RNAcentral describes it as "tRNA-Thr". It matches the Rfam family "tRNA". From Rfam's summary of the family: Transfer RNA (tRNA) molecules are approximately 80 nucleotides in length. Their secondary structure includes four short double-helical elements and three loops (D, anti-codon, and T loops). The record is from RNAcentral. Lineage: Eukaryota; Metazoa; Chordata; Actinopteri; Tetraodontiformes; Monacanthidae.